CCUGGUGGCUCAGAUGGUAAAGAAUCUGCCUGCAAUGCAGGAGAUCCAGGUUUGAUCCCUGGGUCAGGA
Molecule: transfer RNA, 69 nt
Filed under: Odocoileus virginianus texanus
Lineage: Eukaryota; Metazoa; Chordata; Mammalia; Artiodactyla; Cervidae
Also listed under: 7 other names
Rfam family: tRNA
About the family: Transfer RNA (tRNA) molecules are approximately 80 nucleotides in length. Their secondary structure includes four short double-helical elements and three loops (D, anti-codon, and T loops).
Source: Rfam by way of RNAcentral